UGGUGAUUGAAGUGCUUAUCUCCCCUAAUCGGAGCGUGUAAAGGUAUUACUGCAGAGCCAAAGCGUCGCCACACCAGCUUUGAUAUGGAAAAUCACAUCUGUGAGCUCCCAAACAACAUUAUCUACAGAGAGCUGAAUACCACGUAAAACCUUUCCUGCAACCGCUCCAUCUGUUGUCUUGGAUUAGCUCCAUGUUUAUUGCCUUUUUUUUUUCCUCACAUGCUCAAAGGCAGACAGGGCAGGGAGGGCGAAAGAAAGGGAGGCGAAUAAAGAGCCGAACACACAUCUUGUUAAAAGUACUUGAACGCGUCAUGUGGCGCCGUGUGACCUGUUCGGUCAACGGUUGGCUCGCAGUCCAUCAUUGUAACCAUCAUCACCUUCAUCAUUGUUAUCAGCUACAAUGCCCACAGUCGGUUGAGAAGAGGACGUAUUGCUGA
RNAcentral lists this long non-coding RNA (437 nucleotides) under Scophthalmus maximus (turbot). RNAcentral's name for it is "lncRNA (ENSSMAG00000032612.1)". Lineage: Eukaryota; Metazoa; Chordata; Actinopteri; Pleuronectiformes; Scophthalmidae. The record is from RNAcentral.